Molecule: ribosomal RNA, 468 nt
Filed under: uncultured bacterium
Lineage: Bacteria
Description: partial 16S ribosomal RNA
Rfam family: Bacterial small subunit ribosomal RNA
Source: RNAcentral
GACGAACGCUGGCGGCGUGCUUAACACAUGCAAGUCGAACGGAAAGGCCCUGCUUUUGUGGGGUGCUCGAGUGGCGAACGGGUGAGAAACACGUGAGUAACCUGCCCUUGACUUUGGGAUAUCUUCAGGAAACUGGGGCUAAUACCGGAUAGGAGCUCCUGCUGCAUGGUGGGGGUUGGAAAGUUUCGGCGGUUGGGGAUGGACUCGCGGCUUAUCAGCUUGUUGGUGGGGUAGUGGCUUACCAAGGCUUUGACGGGUAGCCGGCCUGAGAGGGUGACCGGCCACAUUGGGACUGAGAUACGGCCCAGACUCCUACGGGAGGCAGCAGUGGGGAAUAUUGCACAAUGGGCGGAAGCCUGAUGCAGCAACGCCGCGUGCGGGAUGACGGCCUUCGGGUUGUAAACCGCUUUCGCCUGUGACGAAGCGUGAGUGACGGUAAUGGGUAAAGAAGCACCGGCUAACUACGUG